CCUACGGGUGGCAGCAGUGAGGAAUAUUGGUCAAUGGACGAGAGUCUGAACCAGCCAAGUAGCGUGAAGGAUGACUGCCCUAUGGGUUGUAAACUUCUUUUAUAAAGGAAUAAAACGAGGCACGUGUGCCUUUUUGUAUGUACUUUAUGAAUAAGGAUCGGCUAACUCCGUGCCAGCAGCCGCGGUAAUACCGAGGAUCCGAGCGUUAUCCGGAUUUAUUGGGUUUAAAGGGAGCGUAGAUGGGUUGUUAAGUCAGUUGUGAAAGUUUGCGGCUCAACCGUAAAAUUGCAAUUGAUACUGGCGGUCUUGAGUACAGUGGAGGUAGGCGGAAUUCGUGGUGUAGCGGUGAAAUGCUUAGAUAUCACGAAGAACCCCGAUUGCGAAGGCAGCUUACUAAACUGUGACUGACAUUGAUGCUCGAAAGUGUGGGUAUCAAACAGGAUUAGAUACCCGUGUAGUC
This 460-nucleotide ribosomal RNA is filed under the name uncultured bacterium. Its description in RNAcentral is "partial 16S ribosomal RNA". It matches the Rfam family "Bacterial small subunit ribosomal RNA", at positions 338 to 795 of the family's 1533-position model. The record is from RNAcentral.